UAUAGACUGCUGCAUGCUGGCUGGCUAGGUUGCUCUUUUUAACUUAGAAAGUUGAGGAAACAACAAAGUAGAGGAUGAAUGGUAUCUGGAGGUUGACAUACUGAUCCUCGGGGAAGGUACAGAUGUGAAUUUCAGCAUGAAGAAAGGAAGAUAUUUUCUGUUGUUCAAGGAUGAGACAUACCAUAUGAGAGGGAGCCACUAUAGGUCCAAGAAGAGAUCUGGGACCAUGGAGAUUUCCAGAGACCUACAAGGAUGACAUGAUCUCAUAAUCAAGGCAA
Molecule: non-coding RNA, 278 nt
Organism: Cricetulus griseus (Chinese hamster)
Lineage: Eukaryota; Metazoa; Chordata; Mammalia; Rodentia; Cricetidae
Source: RefSeq, a predicted model, not a curated record